GGAACAUGGAGUUCCUGACUCCACUAAUGGGAGUCAGGUAAUGGCGCGAGGGUUAUGAGUCAAAGCUGGCUUUCUCCAGGAUCCUGGGCAGCCCCCUAACUUCUCUGAGCCACAGUCUCCUCGUUUCACUACCAUGAAGGACCUUGUCCACCCAGAACUUCCAGGGACCACAUUUCAGGCCUAAAGGCCCAAGAACCAGGAGCUCUGAUGUUGAAGGGCAGGGGAAGAUGGGCAUCCCAGCUCAAGAGGAGAGGCAGAAUUCAUCCUUCCUCCACCCUUUUGCUCCUUUGGGCCCUCCAUGGAUUGGGUGAUGCCUGUCUACAUUGAUUUCUCCUGCUUCUAGGAUGGAGAGCAGUCUUCAGCCUGAGUCCCAUCCCUAGGUAAGUAACUGAAUUGGGGUUUGUCUUGGCUAAAGUUAAGAUUAACAACCAG
RNAcentral lists this long non-coding RNA (432 nucleotides) under Homo sapiens (human). Its description in RNAcentral is "HSALNT0066972". Lineage: Eukaryota; Metazoa; Chordata; Mammalia; Primates; Hominidae. The record is from RNAcentral.